RNAcentral lists this ribosomal RNA (253 nucleotides) under uncultured bacterium. RNAcentral describes it as "partial 16S ribosomal RNA". It matches the Rfam family "Bacterial small subunit ribosomal RNA", at positions 524 to 776 of the family's 1533-position model. The record is from RNAcentral.
UACGAAGGGUGCUAGCGUUGUUCGGAAUUACUGGGCGUAAAGCGCGCGCAGGCGGCUUGCCAAGUCAGAGGUGAAAUCCCAGGGCUUAACCCUGGAAUUGCCUUUGAAACUGGCUAGCUUGAGUGUCGGAGGGGAUAGCGGAAUUUCUAAUGUAGCGGUGAAAUGCGUAGAUAUUAGAAGGAACACCGGUGGCGAAGGCGGCUAUCUGGACGACAACUGACGCUGAGGCGCGAAAGCGCGGGGAUCAAACAGG